GGCGAACGCUGGCGGCGUGCUUAACACAUGCAAGUCGAACGGAAAGGCCCUGCUUUUGUGGGGUGCUCGAGUGGCGAACGGGUGAGUAACACGUGUGUAACCUGCCCUUGACUUUGGGAUAACUUCAGGAAACUGGGGCUAAUACCGGAUAGGAGCUCCUGCUGCAUGGUGGGGGUUGGAAAGUUUCGGCGGUUGGGGAUGGACUCGCGGCUUAUCAGCUUGUUGGUGGGGUAGUGGCUUACCAAGGCUUUGACGGGUAGCCGGCCUGAGAGGGUGACCGGCCACAUUGGGACUGAGAUACGGCCCAGACUCCUACGGGAGGCAGCAGUGGGGAAUAUUGCACAAUGGGCGGAAGCCUGAUGCAGCAACGCCGCGUGCGGGAUGACGGCCUUCGGGUUGUAAACCGCUUUCGCCUGUGACGAAGCGUGAGUGACGGUAAUGGGUAAAGAAGCACCGGCUAACUACGUG
RNAcentral lists this ribosomal RNA (468 nucleotides) under uncultured bacterium. Its description in RNAcentral is "partial 16S ribosomal RNA". It matches the Rfam family "Bacterial small subunit ribosomal RNA", at positions 28 to 507 of the family's 1533-position model. The record is from RNAcentral.